RNAcentral lists this ribosomal RNA (484 nucleotides) under uncultured bacterium. RNAcentral's name for it is "bacterial SSU rRNA". It matches the Rfam family "Bacterial small subunit ribosomal RNA", at positions 24 to 507 of the family's 1533-position model. The record is from RNAcentral.
UCAGGACGAACGCUGGCGGCGUGCCUAACACAUGCAAGUCGAACGAGAAUCUGUGGAUCGAGGAUUCGUCCAAGAGAAGCAGAGGACAGUGGCGGACGGGUGAGUAACGCGUGAGGAACCUGCCUUUCAGAGGGGGACAACAGUUGGAAACGACUGCUAAUACCGCAUAACGCGUAGAGGUCGCAUGGCCUUUACGCCAAAGAUUUAUCGCUGAAAGAUGGCCUCGCGUCUGAUUAGCUAGUUGGUGAGGUAACGGCCCACCAAGGCGACGAUCAGUAGCCGGACUGAGAGGUUGAACGGCCACAUUGGGACUGAGAUACGGCCCAGACUCCUACGGGAGGCAGCAGUGGGGAAUAUUGGGCAAUGGGCGCAAGCCUGACCCAGCAAUGCCGCGUGAAGGAAGAAGGCUUUCGGGUUGUAAACUUCUUUUGUCAGGGACGAGCAGAAGACGGUACCUGACGAAUAAGCCACGGCUAACUACGUG